GCAAGCGGAGGCUCCACCCUUACUGAGUGGGUUCCUGCCGCACUCGCGCAGGCGUCGCGCGUCCAGGCGGGAGGUCGGUGUGUCCUGGGCUUCUGCUCCCCGGCGGCUGUGGCGGCCCCGAGCCAUGGCUCUCACCGUCCGAGUCGUUUAUUGUGGCGCUUGAGGCUACAAGUCCAAGUAUCUUCAGCUCAAGAAGAAGUUAGAAGAUGAGUUCCCUGGCUGCUUGGACAUCUCGGGCGAGGGAACUCCCCAGGCCACCGGGUUCUUCGAAGUAACGGUAGCUGGGAAGUUGAUUCACUCUAAGAAGAAAGGCGAUGGCUACGUGGACACGGAAAGCAAGUUUCUGAAGCUGGUGGCGGCCAUCAAAGCCGCCUUGGCUCAGGGCUAAUGUGCCCUGAAGGCAGAGGUGAGAGGGAGGGGCCCACUAGACAGGGAACCACCCUUUGGAUCUUCUCCCAGCCCCAUC
RNA transcript from Cebus imitator (Panamanian white-faced capuchin), 466 nucleotides. It is a transcript of the gene named selenoprotein W, with no coding region annotated. The transcript has 5 exons. The record is from RefSeq and is a predicted model, not a curated record. NCBI's taxonomy places the organism in Eukaryota, Metazoa, Chordata, Mammalia, Primates, Cebidae.